Molecule: ribosomal RNA, 253 nt
Filed under: uncultured prokaryote
Description: partial 16S ribosomal RNA
Rfam family: Bacterial small subunit ribosomal RNA
Source: RNAcentral
UACGUAGGGGGCAAGCGUUGUUCGGAAUUACUGGGCGUAAAGGGCGCGUAGGCGGCACGGCAAGUCAGGAGUGAAAGGCCUGGGCUCAACCUGGGAAUUGCUUUUGAAACUGCCGAGCUAGAGUGCGGAAGGGGCAACUGGAAUUCCCAGUGUAGCGGUGAAAUGCGUAGAUAUUCGGAAGAACACCAGUGGCGAAGGCGACUUACUGGAUCAUUACUGACGCUGAGGCUCGAAAGCGUGGGGAGCAAACAGG